This 522-nucleotide ribosomal RNA is filed under the name Salmonella enterica subsp. enterica serovar Enteritidis. Its description in RNAcentral is "bacterial SSU rRNA". It matches the Rfam family "Bacterial small subunit ribosomal RNA", at positions 127 to 649 of the family's 1533-position model. The record is from RNAcentral. Lineage: Bacteria; Pseudomonadati; Pseudomonadota; Gammaproteobacteria; Enterobacterales; Enterobacteriaceae.
UGCCUAGUAGUGGGGGAUAGCUCGGGGAAACUCGAAUUAAUACCGCAUACGACCUACGGGUGAAAGGGGGCGCAAGCUCUUGCUAUUAGAUGAGCCUAAAUCAGAUUAGCUAGUUGGUGGGGUAAAGGCCCACCAAGGCGACGAUCUGUAACUGGUCUGAGAGGAUGAUCAGUCACACCGGAACUGAGACACGGUCCGGACUCCUACGGGAGGCAGCAGUGGGGAAUAUUGGACAAUGGGGGCAACCCUGAUCCAGCCAUGCCGCGUGUGUGAAGAAGGCCUUUUGGUUGUAAAGCACUUUAAGCAGGGAGGAGAGGCUAAUGGUUAAUACCCAUUAGAUUAGACGUUACCUGCAGAAUAAGCACCGGCUAACUCUGUGCCAGCAGCCGCGGUAAUACAGAGGGUGCGAGCGUUAAUCGGAAUUACUGGGCGUAAAGCGAGUGUAGGUGGCUCAUUAAGUCACAUGUGAAAUCCCCGGGCUUAACCUGGGAACUGCAUGUGAUACUGGUGGUGCUAGAAUAU